RNAcentral lists this ribosomal RNA (1085 nucleotides) under uncultured bacterium. RNAcentral describes it as "bacterial SSU rRNA". It matches the Rfam family "Bacterial small subunit ribosomal RNA", at positions 447 to 1533 of the family's 1533-position model. The record is from RNAcentral.
GAGUAACUGUUGACAUCGUGACGGUAUCCAACCAGAAAGCCACGGCUAACUACGUGCCAGCAGCCGCGGUAAUACGUAGGUGGCAAGCGUUGUCCGGAUUUAUUGGGCGUAAAGCGAGCGCAGGCGGUUUUUUAGGUCUGAUGUGAAAGCCUUCGGCUUAACCGGAGAAGUGCAUCGGAAACCGGGAGACUUGAGUGCAGAAGAGGACAGUGGAACUCCAUGUGUAGCGGUGAAAUGCGUAGAUAUAUGGAAGAACACCAGUGGCGAAGGCGGCUGUCUGGUCUGCAACUGACGCUGAGGCUCGAAAGCAUGGGUAGCGAACAGGAUUAGAUACCCUGGUAGUCCAUGCCGUAAACGAUGAGUGCUAAGUGUUGGAGGGUUUCCGCCCUUCAGUGCUGCAGCUAACGCAUUAAGCACUCCGCCUGGGGAGUACGACCGCAAGGUUGAAACUCAAAGGAAUUGACGGGGGCCCGCACAAGCGGUGGAGCAUGUGGUUUAAUUCGAUGCUACGCGAAGAACCUUACCAGGUCUUGACAUCUUCUGCUAACCUAAGAGAUUAGGCGUUCCCUUCGGGGACGGAAUGACAGGUGGUGCAUGGUUGUCGUCAGCUCGUGUCGUGAGAUGUUGGGUUAAGUCCCGCAACGAGCGCAACCCUUAUUGUCAGUUGCCAGCAUCCAGUUGGGCACUCUGGCGAGACUGCCGGUGACAAACCGGAGGAAGGUGGGGAUGACGUCAAAUCAUCAUGCCCCUUAUGACCUGGGCUACACACGUGCUACAAUGGACGGUACAACGAGUCGCGAAACCGCGAGGUCAAGCUAAUCUCUGAAAGCCGUUCUCAGUUCGGAUUGCAGGCUGCAACUCGCCUGCAUGAAGUUGGAAUCGCUAGUAAUCGUGGAUCAGCAUGCCACGGUGAAUACGUUCCCGGGCCUUGUACACACCGCCCGUCACACCAUGAGAGUUUGUAACACCCAAAGCCGGUGAGGUAACCUUCGGGGGCCAGCCGUCUAAGGUGGGACAGAUGAUUAGGGUGAAGUCGUAACAAGGUAGCCGUAGGAGAACCUGCGGCUGGAUCACCUCCUUUCUAA